Molecule: regulatory RNA element, 102 nt
Organism: Firmicutes bacterium CAG:240
Lineage: Bacteria; Bacillati; Bacillota
Rfam family: Purine riboswitch aptamer
About the family: Riboswitches are metabolite binding domains within certain messenger RNAs that serve as precision sensors for their corresponding targets.
Source: Rfam
CGCGCAAAACAGAAUAUUUUCGAUAUAUAGCAAAUGAUAUGGAUUUGAAGUCUCUACCCGGACGCCGUAAAUGACCGGACUAUCGAAGUUUUUAUACAGAGG